RNAcentral lists this long non-coding RNA (1029 nucleotides) under Citrus maxima (pomelo). RNAcentral's name for it is "long non-coding RNA (CMAX_LNC001609)". Lineage: Eukaryota; Viridiplantae; Streptophyta; Magnoliopsida; Sapindales; Rutaceae. The record is from RNAcentral.
AGAAAACCAGGACUGCUAAAUUUAAACUUGAAAGCUCAAAAGAAAAACAUCAAACGAUUUCUUAAUAGAAUCAUGCAAUGCAACCAAAUAGCUUGAAUUUAAAACAUGAAUAUCGAAAUAUUUGCCCAUUGGUCUUUGGCACACUGCUGCAAAGCCUAGAGCAGCCAAGCGUACCAACAAAAUUUAGCAUAUCUUACCAUCAAGCAGGUCCCAGCACGAACAUUACAGAUGGGAUAGUCAUGUGGGCAGCAGCUAUAGUGGUCAUCACAGCAGGUGGCAGCCUCAAGCGGGCAGCAUCCCCAUGCAAAGCAAGAGUUACCAUACUCAAAGACACAGCAGCAAGUGUUGCUCUCAGGGCAAGAGUAAUAAUUGUCACACACAGCAGGAGGCUUUGUUGGAGAUGGAGGGGACGGUCCAGGGUUGGGAGGAUUUUGGCCUUUCUUUAUGGGAUAUGAGGCCUCCAUGGCAAUUCCACACUUGCCCGUGAGAGUGCCAGCCACGUUACGCUCCAUCCUAAUAUAGCCAGCCUCUCCCCAGCUACUGCCCCAUGAAUUCUUCACAAUCCAGUAAUCAGCUCCAUUUUCUGUGCCAUAUCCAACAGCAGUAACACCAUGGUCCAGAGAUGUCCCACAUCUUCCCGUAAAUAUACCCUGAAAAUUUGCAAAGACAGAAAAAUAUACUUGAGACUUCCUUAAAACAGAUCAGACACACACAAGACUCUUCCUGAUCCUGUUUAGAAACCAUUAGAAAUACAAUAAUUUUUGUUCAAAUACCAUCCAGUAUUGUCUCAACCAUAUCUUUUCAGAACUGCAAAAUGCAAAUACUUUGUAUCUAGAUAAUAGCAACAUUCCUAAAUCUAAAAUGUGACAAGUGCCAUGAAGAGAUGAAAGUUACCGAUUCAUAUAACUGGAAUGCCAUGCCACCUCCUUCAAUGGCAACACUCACGGGUUGAUUUGCAACUGCCUUUUGCAAAGCUUUCUCGUCAUUUAGGGGAACAUCUUCAUAGUCAUCAAUUGUAACUACUUUGGC